UACAGAGGGUGCGAGCGUUGUCCGGAAUCACUGGGCGUAAAGGGUGCGUAGGUGGCGCUGUAAGUGGGGUGUGAAAUCCCGGGGCUUAACCCCGGGACUGCAUUCCAUACUGCGGUGCUUGAGGACUGGAGAGGAGACUGGAAUUUACGGUGUAGCAGUGAAAUGCGUAGAGAUCGUAAGGAAGACCAGUGGCGAAGGCGGGUCUCUGGACAGUUCCUGACACUGAGGCACGAAGGCCAGGGGAGCAAACGGG
RNAcentral lists this ribosomal RNA (253 nucleotides) under uncultured bacterium. RNAcentral's name for it is "partial 16S ribosomal RNA". It matches the Rfam family "Bacterial small subunit ribosomal RNA", at positions 524 to 776 of the family's 1533-position model. The record is from RNAcentral.